Molecule: ribosomal RNA, 495 nt
Filed under: uncultured bacterium
Lineage: Bacteria
Description: partial 16S ribosomal RNA
Rfam family: Bacterial small subunit ribosomal RNA
Source: RNAcentral
GAUGAACGCUGGCGGCGUGCCUAAUACAUGCAAGUAGAACGCUGAAGGAGGAGCUUGCUCUUCUGGAUGAGUUGCGAACGGGUGAGUAACGCGUAGGUAACCUGCCUGGUAGCGGGGGAUAACUAUUGGAAACGAUAGCUAAUACCGCAUGACAACAGUUAUUGCAUGAUAACUGUUUAAAAGGGGCAACUGCUCCACUACCAGAUGGACCUGCGUUGUAUUAGCUAGUUGGUGAGGUAACGGCUCACCAAGGCGACGAUACAUAGCCGACCUGAGAGGGUGGACGGCCAACAUGGGACUGAGACACGGCCCCAGCUCCUAAGGGGGGCAACAGUAGGGAAUCUUCGGCAAUGGACCGAAGGCUGACCGAGGAACGCCGCGUGAGGGAAGGAGGUUUUCGGAUCGUAAAGAUCUGUUGUAUGGGAAGGACGAGUGUGGGAGUGGAAAGUUCACACUGUGACGGUAUCUUACCAGAAAGGGACGGCUAACUACGUG